UACGAAGGGUGCAAGCGUUACUCGGAAUUACUGGGCGUAAAGCGUGCGUAGGUGGUUUGUUAAGUCUGUUGUGAAAGCCCCGGGCUCAACCUGGGAAUGGCAAUGGAUACUGGCAAGCUAGAGUGCGGUAGAGGGCAGUGGAAUUCCCGGUGUAGCGGUGAAAUGCGUAGAGAUCGGGAGGAACACCAGUGGCGAAGGCGGCUACCUGGACCAGCACUGACACUGAGGCACGAAAGCGUGGGGAGCAAACAGG
Molecule: ribosomal RNA, 253 nt
Filed under: uncultured bacterium
Lineage: Bacteria
Description: partial 16S ribosomal RNA
Rfam family: Bacterial small subunit ribosomal RNA
Source: RNAcentral